CAGCCUCUCUCCUGGGGAGGCUCGCACAGCCCCGGAGUAGCAGGUUCCUACUUGUGCGAGCGAGCGCAGCAGGCGCUGGGCAAAGCCAGGGCGUUCCCAGCGGGGGACAGCGAGCCGCGGGGGCCUGCAAGCGCCCGGCCGGGGCUGGGGGGCCCUGGAGACUCCUGCCUCCGACCGACCCGCUGGGAGCCGGAGGCGCAGGGCUCCGCGGCCGGGUUUCCUGUGUGUCAGCAACUUCACUUCGCAGACAGCUGGCGGAAGGGCGAAGGAGCGCGCGGCCAAUCGCCGGCCAGCAGCCACCUCUGGCCAAGCGCACCCGUCGCCCUCGCGCCUGACUCGGGUGGCAGCGGUCGGCCAGGGGCUGAGCGCACCGGGCCCUGCGAGGACCCGCUCGCCAGAAGACGCCUGGGGCCGCCGGCGGCGUCCUUGAGGGCGGGCGGGCGGGCGGGCGCGGCGGAGACACGCCCCUCGGCUCCCCGCGGAGCGCGGACUCGCCCGGUGCCCAGGCCCCGCCCACCGCGCGCGGAGCUCGGCUCUCCAGCCCGCCCUCUGCACUCGGGACGGAGCCGGGCCUGGGGAAGGGCCCCCGACCUGCGUGGACGGCGAACCGCACGCAGCCUGGAGGGGCUCGGCUCUGCGGCCGCGUGCGCACCGCGGCGCCCCGAAGCCUAGCUUUUCGCCUCCAAGGUAGGGAGGAGGAAGAUGCCCCGAAGUUGAGCGUUGGGAGAAGGAGGCUGGUUGCGCUGGAACCCAGCCGAGCGAGUUUGGUGUGACCUGGCCGCGCACCAGGCUGCUCUGCAGCGCGGACCCGCGGACCCUCGGGAAAGCGCAGUUGGAAAGUUGGCGGUGGCCGUGCCCUGUGCGCCCUGUUGUGUAACCUCGGCGCCGCCAGCCGGACUGGGAAGUUGCCGGCCCGCCCUCCAUCCUGCUUCAGGCGCUGCCCGGGGCGGAUUUCAUGGCCCUGGGGGGACGCGCGGCCGCAGCCGGCGUGGGCGAGCCCCCGCGCGCCCCCUUCCGCGGGGACCCCCCGCGCGCGACCCCUUCCACUCGCGGGCUUCUCCGAUGCUCCCUGAGCCCUUUACCACCUCCGCCCUCUCGCCGCCGCGUCCCCCUCGGAGCUGCUGCCUAAGUCGGGGAGAAGAGGAUGACAGAGGGGCUGUGGUCGGCUGUCCCCAACGGGACAGACGCUGCCUUUCUGACCGACCCGGGCUCGCCUUGGGGAAACAGCACGAUCGCCCCCACCGCGGCCGUCACCACCUCGUUUAAAUGUGCCCUGACCAAGACCGGCUUCCAGUUCUACUACCUGCCGGCGGUCUACAUCGUGGUGUUCAUCAUCGGCUUCCUGGGCAACAGCGUGGCCAUCUGGAUGUUCGUCUUCCACAUGAAGCCGUGGAGUGGCAUCUCCGUGUACAUGUUCAACCUGGCGCUGGCCGACUUUCUGUACGUGCUGACCCUGCCCGCGCUCAUCUUCUACUACUUCAACAAGACGGACUGGAUCUUCGGGGACGGCAUGUGCAAACUGCAGCGGUUCAUCUUCCACGUGAACCUGUACGGCAGCAUCCUCUUCCUGACUUGCAUCAGCGCGCACAGGUACAGCGGCGUGGUGUACCCGCUCCAGUCGCUGGGCAGGCUCAAGAAGAAGAACGCCGUCUACAUCAGCGUGCUGGUGUGGCUGGUCGUGGUGGCGGCCAUCUCGCCCAUCCUCUUCUACUCCGGCACGGGGGUCCGCAAAAACAAGACCAUCACCUGCUACGACACCACCUCGGAUGAGUACCUGCGCAGCUAUUUCAUUUACAGCAUGUGCACCACCGUGGCCAUGUUCUGCGUCCCGUUGGUGCUGAUCCUGGGCUGUUACGGAUUAAUCGUGAGGGCUUUGAUUUACAAAGACCUGGACAACUCGCCUCUGAGGCGGAAGUCCAUCUACCUGGUGAUUAUUGUGCUCACAGUUUUUGCUGUGUCUUACAUCCCUUUCCAUGUGAUGAAGACCAUGAACUUGAGGGCCCGGCUGGACUUUCAGACCCCGGAAAUGUGUGCUUUCAAUGACAGGGUUUAUGCCACUUAUCAGGUGACAAGGGGUCUAGCCAGUCUCAACAGUUGCGUGGACCCCAUCCUCUAUUUCUUGGCGGGAGAUACGUUCAGAAGGAGGCUCUCCCGAGCGACCCGGAAAGCUUCCAGAAGAAGUGAGGCGAAUUUGCAAUCCAAGAGUGAAGACAUGACCCUCAAUAUUUUGUCGGAGUUCAAGCAGAAUGGAGAUACCAGCCUGUGAAGGCGCCAGAAUCCCCAAACACCUCACUUGUGUAACAUGGUAGGAUGCUGAACACAGCCAACUGCUUUCUUCCCCUUUAAGUUUCUAGUUGAGAGAAAAGUCAAAGAAAGUAUUGAGUUAAAAAAAAAAAAAAAAAAAAAACAGGGGUAGAAAUGCCCUCACUCACGCUUAGCUCAUGGAGGUUUAUGUUCAGACGCCCUUCUUACCUAUUGGUAGUAUGUAUAAUAAAACGACACUACCUAGUUAAACUUUUACUUUCUUGUCUGCCUUUAAAAUUUACAAGCUUUUCUAGUUCAAGUGUGUGUGUGCACAGGAGGAGUAGAGCUCUUUUAAUAUUAAUAAUUUCUCCAGGAAAACUAGCCACCUGAAACUUGAGUUUGUGACUUGUCCAAGCUUUCUUGUUUUUAAUCCUUCAUGGCAUGAACAAAUUGAAAAUCCAUAUCCUCAAACAUACGUAGCAUAGUACAUAACAAAGUCCUUCACUCAGUUCAUCCAAUAAAGAAUUAACAGGACUGACUGAAUUUCUUUUGGAAGUUGAGUAGAAAAGUGAAGUCAAUGAACAUAAAAACCCAAAAAGUGUUUAUUUUCCAGGGAUAUCUGGAAAACUGCUCACUGCACCCUCGGUAGUGCAGGUCUGUUGGUAGAAGCCUGCAUAUAUUAUCUGACUGGCGAAAUGCACUGGACAUAAUCAGAGUGCAUGUCUUUUCCUUGUAAACACUAUGUGCCCUGCUAGACUUCCUGUGAUAAAGGGUUUGCUUGCACCACUGCUGUGCAGUGUCUUAGGACUUUGUUUGUGUUCCAGGACAAGUGCUCAUUCCCAUCUGUGAAAACAGUUUCACAAAAUCACAGUGAAAUUACAGAGUAAAGUUUGAGUGCAGUCGAGUAAUGGUUAGCAAAUUGAGGGAUGAGGGCAGUGUUUUCUGAAGAGGGUGGUUGACAGUCGUCCACAAUGCAUGGACUACAAUUAAACAGGAGGCAACUGGGGUGGAAGAGGAACUUUUAGAACAAGGACUAUAAAACCAUGAUGCAGAGGUUCUUUUUGCUUCCUCAGAGUGUUUGAAAACAUUACGUGCAAUACAAAGAGAAGAAGCAGGCAGACUUUGUACAGGUUGCUAUUGAUGGAAUAGGAAACUAAACUCUUCCUGAACCUUAUAUCCUAACAUUUAAAGGAAGAUGAAACAUAUAUGGAAAGAGAAAUAGGGGAAAUUAAAUCAAAGCACCUAAGGUUGCUUUGCUCUGAGAAGCAAGCUACAGAAAGUGCCGAUCAAACUCAGAAUGAGGAGGACCCGGCAGUGUUUUCUAUUGUAUUUGUUCUCUGCCAGGCUUGAAUGAAAAUUGUGCAAAAUACUUCAACAACUUAAAUACUAAUUUUCAGUGAAUACUGAAUUGCUCCAUUUCUGGCCCUUGAAAUGCUCAAAUGUUAUGAGAAUAAUGAGGAAAUGUAACAGCCACAGAUAAACAAACCCCACAUCAAAGAAGCUUCAGCUGUCAAAGCUAGUCCCCAUAGCCAACAUCAGAGCCCACAGCUGAUAGUGGCGGACACAUCUAGAGGCGCCUCGUGAGUGAAGCCAUGUGGGCUGUAUGUUAAGUCAGGAGGGAGCUCAGGGCCCCUGGGGACAUGAUGACAGGGAAUUCAGAAACUGGUGUCAGUUCUUACAAUCCCCAGAUGGACUGAGGAUCUUGAGACCUUCAGAGCUGCUAGCAUUUACCCAACGCCAGCCAUUAAGAUCAAUGAAGAAAAGCUGUAUUUAGCUGUUCUGGGUGUUUUGUUUACAAGUUCAUCUUAAUGUAUAGGAUUAUGGAAAUGAAGGCAAGAAGAAAUCUAUACUUACUCAUUUUGAGCAAUGAGGGUUUGCAGUAUUUUCACUUUGUGAGGCUCAUGCAACAUUGUCAGUCUUAGAAUCCUAAGACAAAAAUCUACUUAAUUUUUUAAGUGCAUUGACCUUUUCAAACAAUAUCAAUAUUAUUAAACUGACUAAAAUUCCACAGCCUGUAUGAUACUUGAACUUGGUACACAUCUCUGUAAUAUUUUUCUCACCAUUUAAUUAAGUCUUCUUCCUGUCAGGCCUCAGGAUACCCAGACUCAUUUGGGGUAUGUGUUAAGUACAUUGUUUCACGUUCCAGAGAACUUUCUGUGGGAGCAGAUCCAGCCAGGAGGUGGACAGUGGCUAGAAAUGCCCUUUUACUAAUUGGCAUGUUUUUUCCAAAGUGUUUCUUCUUUGCUUCAUGCAGCACACAGGCAGCCAGGACAUGUGAAUGCAUGCCACAUAGUAACAAGAAUGAUCUUGCCAACUCCUUCCAGGCCGGCAGAAGUCUCUGGGAACAUCUGUCCUAAUGGUGAACACAUACAGAGGGUCAGGACGGAGCAGUGAUCUAUUGGCUGAAAAGCUGAUUCAUGCCACACGAGGAAAUAUGAGACUCUUCAGUCCAGUCCUUGGCUAAAAUGUUCACAAGGUCCAGAAGUUGUGAUGUGGGCAGGUCAUACUCUGCAAGUCUUCUCUGUCUACUCAGACAGGACACUAAUAACCUUUGGAUUCAACAGAUGUCAGUACUUUUAGCAGCUGCAAUUCAACUAGAGACGGUACUUAAAGGUGUGAUCCUAGUAGAUCUACUGAAGCUUUGGCAUUGCUGGUCCAAUUCUGCCUUUCCUAAUAGUAUGUAUGGAGGAAGCUCGCAUCCUUCAGUUGCACACACUGAAAAACUUCUUGAAAGAUCCAACAUCAUGAUGUAAAUGGUAUUUAUUACAGUGUAUAAUGUUAUAAUGUCACCAUGGUGUACUUAUGUAAUAGGUGAUGCAUAGACACAAUGACAAUUAUAUAUCAUAAUGCUUUUCAGGUCUUGAAAUGUUUGUUUUUAGAUUUUUGUGUGUCUAAAACAUUAAAAUCUGUUUCACAAUGCAAGUGACUAAUUUUCCCUAGAAGUGGAUUUGUGUGCUUGCCUUUUCAGAGUUCUUUCUGUGGAAACACAAUCUGGUGUCAGAUUAUCAUAAGAUCAGUAGUAAAUAGGAAGUACUUUAGCCAGACUGGCUCUGUAUUAGCUACAUUUUAUAUAUGUUAUAGAAAAGUCCACAUUGUCUUUUCAGGAGACUUAGAAUUUGUUCCUGGCUGUGAUCAGAGUUUCCCCUCCCAAGGGCAAAGGAUCAAGUUGGUUGCUUCUGUGUUAGUCUAUUGGAAUGUGCGUUAUAAACCAACCUUAGAAUUUAUUGACAGGCUUCAGGGAGAUGGGAGAGAAAAAGUCAGCUGAUACCAUCACCUGUAAUUGCUCAGUUCUGAAGAUUCUGCAUUGUGUUUCUUCUUAAAGUGAAACUGUAUAAUCUUAAUUUCUUUGAGAUGGAGUUUUUAAGUAACACACUACCAGCAAGUUCAGUGCUAUUGAUGUUCAGUGGGUAACUUUAAUUGCAGGAUUUUUGGACUCACACUCUUAUUUGGCUGCUGAUUUCUGUUACAGUUUCCUAUUCUCAUGUGCAUUGUAGCAUACGCAUCACACAUUAACAUGAAGGUGAAUAUAUGUUACAUAUCAAGAUUUGUGAAUUUGAAUUAUAUUAUGUUCUAGUGUUUUUGCAAAAAAAGUUUAUUUUUAUAUUAUCUGUGAUUUUAAUAUAGAGAAUGAACAAGAUUUCUUUGUGAUUAAUAGUGCCAUUGAAUGAGUGGUAUGAAACAGUGUUACUUGACAUUUUGAGCCUUCUCAGGUUUAUCUCAAUAGGUGGUAGCUUAAUGAUAUCCAGACUAAUUGUGCAUAAUUGUGUUUUUAAUAAAAGAAGUGUAUAUUUCCUAUAAUAGCAUAGUAUUGUUGCAUGCAGGAGUAUGCAGAAUCGUGUGUGGGGUGUGUGUGUGUGUGUGUGUGUGUGUGUGUGUGUGUGGCUAAGGCAUGACAGCCAACUUUGUACCCACUAUUUAUAGCAGCAGCAGAGCUUCGUAAUGACAGUCACUAGAACUGUAUUUACCAUAGACAAUUAAAACUGAAAAAGACUCAAUAAAACUAUGA
This is an RNA transcript of Sciurus carolinensis (gray squirrel), 6250 nucleotides long. It is a transcript of the gene named purinergic receptor P2Y1, with no coding region annotated. Lineage: Eukaryota; Metazoa; Chordata; Mammalia; Rodentia; Sciuridae. The record is from RefSeq and is a predicted model, not a curated record. The transcript is spliced from 2 exons.